Molecule: ribosomal RNA, 194 nt
Filed under: uncultured Moellerella sp.
Lineage: Bacteria; Pseudomonadati; Pseudomonadota; Gammaproteobacteria; Enterobacterales; Morganellaceae
Description: partial 16S ribosomal RNA
Rfam family: Bacterial small subunit ribosomal RNA
Source: RNAcentral
CCUACGGGAGGCAGCAGUGGGGAAUAUUGCACAAUGGGCGCAAGCCUGAUGCAGCCAUGCCGCGUGUAUGAAGAAGGCCUUAGGGUUGUAAAGUACUUUCAGUCGGGAGGAAGGCGUUGAUACUAAUACUAUCAGCGAUUGACGUUACCGACAGAAGAAGCACCGGCUAACUCCGUGCCAGCAGCCGCGGUAAU